This 64-nucleotide transfer RNA is filed under the name Nisia fuliginosa. RNAcentral's name for it is "tRNA-Thr". Lineage: Eukaryota; Metazoa; Arthropoda; Insecta; Hemiptera; Meenoplidae. The record is from RNAcentral.
UUAAGUGUAGUUUAUAAAAAACAAUGAUCUUGUAAAUCAUAAAUAAAAAUUUAUUUCACUUAAA